This is a long non-coding RNA of Scylla paramamosain (green mud crab), 1468 nucleotides long. RefSeq lists it as uncharacterized. The record is from RefSeq and is a predicted model, not a curated record. Lineage: Eukaryota; Metazoa; Arthropoda; Malacostraca; Decapoda; Portunidae. The transcript has 4 exons.
AAAACGAGGGAAAAAAAGGAAGGAAAGAAGAAAAAUACAGACUUCAGUCGACGCACAAGACGAGGUAGAUAUAAAUAGAGAGAGAGAGAGAGAAAGGAAGAAGAGAGAGAGAAAGAAAAUGAUGAUUAACAAAGGAGGAGUAAAGAGAAGGAAGUAAAGAAGGAAGUUUUAAACAGACAAACGCAGGGAAAUUGAAAGAAGAGAGAGGCAGGGAAAAAGAAAGGAAAAGGAAAGUAAUAGUAUGAAAAUAAACAUUCCAUGGUGAUCGAAAGAAGUAAGAAAGAAUAACAAUAAAGAAGAAGAGGAGAAAACAGAAAAUUAGGGAAGUGGAAAGGAGAGGAAAGGAAAAAAAAAUGAAAUGUGACAAAAUGAAAAACGGAAAAGAAAAUGGAGGAAUCUGAGGAGUGUGGAUGGGAAGGAAAUGAACAAAGUCAACAACAACAACAACAACAACAGCUGAUGUGUUUUCGGAUUGGCUUCAUAUUGUAUCUUCUCAGGCGGAAGAAAUAUCACCACCACCACCACCACCACCACCAGCACCACCACCACCACCACCACUACAAGACUACCACUGCUGCUGGUGAUAAAAUGACAGUCACCUACACCACCAAGGUUUCCAACACUAGUUUCUGCGGAUUUUCCAAGCUUCUAUUCAGAUGGCGCGGCAGUGUGUUCAAGCUGCUCGCCGCUGACCUCAUUGUUUACUUCCUGCUUUAUUUCUCCGUGGCCGCCAUCUACAGAAUCGCCUUGCGGGAGAACGAGAAGAGAGUGUUUGAGAAGAUCGCCAUAACGUGUGAAUACUUCCGCAACGUGUUCCCUAUCUCUUUCGUGCUGGGUUUCUACGUGACAAUCGUGGUGCAGCGGUGGUGGGAGCAGUACAUGCUGAUCCCCUGGCCCGACACCGUGUGCAUCAUGGCCUCCACUUACAUAGAGGGCCAGGUGAGGCGUAGCAAGAGAGAGAGGGAGGGAGAGAGAGGCCCGUAUACAGAAACGCUUUGCUCUCUCACCACAACUAUUCUCAAAGACCACAGAGAUGAUUGGCCUGGUUCUCAAGACUGUUUCUCCAUUUAAUAAUAUAGAAACCAUAUAAAUCUGUCACUGCAACCGUAAAAACAACCUUAAAACCACGUGCAACUUCAACUAAAGCCUGAAAAUAGUGGAGGUGUGGCUCAGAAGCGUUUCAUAAUAAAGACCAAAGAGAGAGAGAGAGAGAGAGAGAGAGAGAGAGAGAGAGAGAGAGAGAGAGAGAGAGAGAUUGAAACGAGAUCGAGUUAGGUGAAGCGAGGUUCCAUGUGGCGCUUUAUGGGACUGGGUAAGAUUACAACUUGGAGGAUGGCUGAAGAGGGAGCGAGAGACGGGGGAUGGAGGGAGGAAGGGAGAAUGGGGGAGUGUAGAGGGUGAGGGAGAGUCUGGGGGUGGAAGGAGGAAGGGGAGAGUGGGAGGAGGGUAGAGGGAGCGGGAGAGUGUG